CCUGGGUUGAUAACAGUUUCGUCGAUGAACCUUUGGAUUGCACUCAUGAACUUUUUGCCAUCCCCCGAGCUUGUAAGCAAUUCAAGAACACGAAAAGGUAAUUGGUUUUCCAACAAGAACAGAUCCGAGUACACAAAUGUCAGCAAAUCGUCUUUAAUAAACAAUUUACCAUCAUUAUCAUCACCAUCAUCACCGUAACGCCUGUAAACUGCUUGUAAAAUUGCGCAGCCGUCAACGAAGAAAAUCCAAGCCAGUUUCUCGUUAUCGUUGCUAUACUUCUCUAAUUCCUGUGGAUCAUAGCAUUUCCUCAAGCCAUCGAUCUCUUUCUUCAUGUUUCUGUACAAGGAAUCCUUACCAAUUUUUUUGACGAAAAGUGCUGCUAAUUUGAGCUUGAGCUUCUCGGAUUUAUGGAAGGUGGGAUCAUCGUGGUGGAGUGGGCCGAUUGAGAUCACUUUCGGCUUGAAAUACUUACUGAAAUCUUCGUGACGACCAAGGGUUGAUGGAACUCUUUGUAUCAAUGGUUUGGCACGGAGGUCGAUUUCGUCGCCGUCGAAAGCUUCGUCUAAUGACCGGAGAUUCACUACUUCGCCAACGCUGAGAGGGACGUCCAUAUCAAUGCUCACGGAAUCGUUGUUGUCGGUGAUUGUUUGAUCAGUGGGAGCUGCUCCGACGGCGCCGCCUCCUUCCUCCGUGGAGGACAUUUUCAGGCUGAGCGGUUGGAAGUAAUAAACAAGGUGAUUUUGUAAACUGUUUUUGGCAGAGUGAGUGAUGUUGGAGAAAAGGUAGCAAAGUGGAUAAGAUGAUGACAAAUAUUUUGUAGCUUACAUGAUAAACAUAUAUGGGAAAUACUUAAGGCGUUAGUGUUUAUAUUUUUACUAAUAUAAACAAUGAUAAAAAAGAAAAGUUAAAUAGUGACAAAUACUAAAAUUGAGAAUAAUAUUAUGGAACCUAAAUACUCAACACUACUCAAAACCUUCGCCUUUAACCAAGAAACUAAGACCCUAUCUGAGGGAGAAUUUUAUAUCUACAACACUUCCUAAAUUUCAUUAGCUUAAUAAUAGCUAUUCAAAUAUAUUUUUUCAUUUUAUUACUGACUUUAAUAUUUAAAUUAUCAUUAUAUUACAUGAUUUAUUCCAAAUAUUUACAUAUAGUAAUUGCAUCUUUAAAUAUAGUAAUUGCAUUUGUUAUUCUACCUAACUCAUGAAAAAUCUCAAAUUUGCAACAUCUUAUAUGCAAACCAACUUAAAUAGAUCACAUUCCAACUUUCUAAAUGCAUCAAAUAUUUCAUAGCAAAGAUCAUGCCAAGAACCCACAUGCAAAGUCAUUAUGUACCACAUUUAACUCAAUCGGACUUUUACACAACUAAAGAUUACUCCAAACGUUUAUAUGCAUGUCGCAAUCCUUGACUCAAAUGAUAAAAAAAAAAACACCAAAUUGACAAUAAAAUAAUGUAAGCUUCGAACGAUCCAAUCGACAUGUUCUAGCAUAUAAUAUGUUUAGUAAGCUCAUAUGGAAACUAAAACUUACCUAGAUCAAUUGAACAUAAAAAAUUACUCAAUAAGCUAUCGAAUUAAUUUUUCCCUGACACUUAUAUACAUAUAGUACAUCUAAUAAAAUUUCUGUUAAAGAAAAGCAAUUUGACUCUUUUUCUGAAAAGUUAAUAAUUAAAUUUAGCUCAAAUAAAAAAAAAGAAUAAAAGUCAAAUUGAUAAAAAAAUAUAAAUAUUAAAAAUUAAAUUUAUCAUUAUAUCUUUUUUAAGUAAUUAUUUGUGGUGAGCCAUCAUGUCUGACGAUGAUUUUUAAAUACUGUAUUAAUUAUAUAUAGCACAUCAUAUUUCACUAUAAUUUCUAAAGACUUUUUAAACAUGGGGUUAAUUGUUUAUGGCCCAUUGCCCAUGUUGCUUUUAUUAAAUUUUGGGUGAACUUCUCAUUUUGGUCAAAAAAAAAUUGUAUUCUCAGUAUAAAACAAAAAACUAAUCUUUAAUGUUUAUGGCCAAACCCCACCUCUCCUAUCCUAUAAUAAUGGUUCUUGGCUUCUUCUAUCCUACACCUCAAUUAUUUGGAUUAGAUUGAAAAACAAUUGACACUUGAUUUGAUUGUGAAAUAAAGUUAAAUUUUAAAUUUAUAAUAUUUAACUUGAGUGUGAAUGAAUUUUUGACUUAAUUGAAAAUUUAAAAUUUUAAGUUCGAGUCGUAUUUAAUUAUGUGUGUAUAUAGUGUAUAAAUUUUGUUCAAAUUUAUUUUGAUUUAAUUUUCAUACUAUAUAUUCUUAAUUAAAUUCGGAAUAUAUUUUGAUUAUCAAUUUAAUCCGACGUUGUAACGAUGGAUUAAAAUUAUAGUUAAUUAUAUAUUGAAACUAAAUAAUUAGUUUAAGGAAUUAAAAGAUAUUAUUAUAUUUUAUAAAAUUUGAAUAGAUUCAUAAUUAAUUCGAGAUUAAAAAAUGGGAGAAGAAAAGCUAAAACCAAACCUUUUUUACGGUUGGAACUAAACCCCAUGCGGUGUGAAAAAUUGCAAGUUUCCAGAAUAUACCUACACUUACUAAUUAUAAUAAAUAUCUUUUACUUAGUAAUAAUAAAUAAUAAAUAUAUAUUUACUAAUUAAAUAUAAAUAUUACAAAUGUACAUAUAUUUUGUUUACAAUUGUACAAUAUCAUCACCAUCCACUUGGCAAAUUUGAUUUGUUCAUAUAAUGUUAAUUUAUAACUAAUAUAAAUUACCGUAUAAUAAAAUAAUUAUGUACAUUAUAAUUUAAUAAUAAUUAAACAAUAAAAAUCUUAGAUUUUUUAUCAACAUUUGCCGCCUCAUUUAUGGUGAAUGGUAUAUCUCCCAUUUUGGUCCCCCUUUCUUUUUAUUAAUUCUUUUUCCUAAUUUCUCCUAAUUAAGCUAAAUUCACUUAAUUAAAUCCUAAUUAAACACACAACUAGCCUUACAAAUAUUCUUAAUAAAACAUUUACAAACUCGGUUUACUAAGACAGAAGCCCUAUAACUCACUUUUUCGGUGCCCGUGAAUUUUGGGCCAUUACACAUUCUUCCGUGGACGACAUUUUUAGGCUGAGCGGUUCGAAGUAAUUACCAAGGUGAUUUUGUAAACUGUUUUUGGCUAAGUGAGUGAUGUUGGUGAAAAGGAGGCAAAAUGGCUACAAUGUUUCUAUAGCUUAUAUAAUGAACAUAUGGAAAAUAUUUUUGUGUAAUAUCAAAUUUAGCCCCUAAUAUUUAUAAUUUUACCAAUUUGAUUCUUAUUCUUUUUAGUUAAAUUUAAUUCUCUAUCUUUUGAAAGUGUCAAAUUUGACUACUGAUCUUUUAGAAAAAUCCUGGUAAUCAUCUCUUCUUUCUAAACCCGUCUUUCCUGAUCAAUUAACUGAUCCACUGUUAGGACUAAUUCGUUAAUAGGAUCAGUAUUAACCUUGCUGCCAAACUUUUGUGGCAACCAAUGAUCAUGCCAAAUGGAUAUCCUCUCUCCUGUACCUACUCUCCAUCCUAUCCGUUGCUCCAACAAACCCCUAGCCGCAUAUAUACUUUGCCACGAAUACGAAGGGUAAGAUCCAAGUCUAGCUUCCAAAAAACUUGAAUGAGGAUAGUAUCUUGCUUUAAAAAUUCUAGCUAACAACGAGUCUGAUUUGGUGAUUAACCGUCAUCCUUGUUUAGCUAAUAAAGCGAUAUUAAAUUCCCCAUAUCGCGAAAGUUUAGACCCCCAUUCUCUUUAGCAUGACAUAAAUCAGUCCAGCAAGUCCAGUGCAAACCACGCCUAUUACUUCCCUUUCCCCACCAAAACCGAUUCAUAAUCUUUUCCAUUUCAGCACACAAUGACUUUGGAAGCAAAAAACAAGACAUUGAAAAAAUCGGUAUGGCCUGUAACACUGCUUUGAUGAAGACAUCUUUGCCCCCUUGAGACAACAUUCAACUCCUCCACCCAUCAACUCUUGUUCUCAGCCUAUCACACAAUCUUUGGAAAGCCUCCUUCUUCUUCCUCCCCACCAUUGUAGGUAGAUCCAAAUACUUUUCCAUGCUCGUUACGGACUUAACACCCAAAUAAUUUCUCAACAGCUCUCUAGUUUCUUCAGAACAGUUAGAACUAAAGAAAAUUUGAGAUUUGUCCAAAUUAAUCUUCUAACCUGAUGCUUUCUCAUAGUCAUCAAGAAAUCCCUUCAUUAUCCUACAACCAUCCUCAUUUGCUUCUCCAAAGAUAAUGCUAUCAUCCGCGAAAAACAAAUGAGUUACCCUCGGGCCUCCUCGACAAACACGCGUGCCUUGAAUAAGACCAUCCCUCUUGGCUAGUUUAAGUAAUGUUGAAAAACCUUUAGUACAAAUAAGAAAAAAAUAGGGACUCAAUGGAUCCCUUUGUCUAAGUCCCCGUUCCGGUUGAAAAGGCUCACUCAAACUUUCAUUAAUCGUAACAGCAUAAGAGACCGAAGAAAUAUAAUGAUUUAUCAACUCCACCCAUUUAUCAUCAAACCCCAUACUCCUCAUCAUACCUGUGACAAAUCCCCACUCAACUCUGUCGUAUGGUUUACUCAUAUCAAGCUUUAAAGCAAAAAAAAAAACCCUUCUUCCAUUUCCUUCUUUUCUUAAAAGUGUGUAGGAUUUCAUAAGCCGUAAGGACAUUAUCCGUAAUAAGCCGACCAGGGACAAACGCUCCUUGAGCUUUAUCAAUACAACCAUAUAACACUCUCUUAAAUCUGUUAGCGAUGGCUUUCGCUAUAAUUUUAUAAAGCACCGUACAUAAGCUUAUGGGCUAAAAAUCUGUCAUAUAAUCUGGCGUUGGGACUUUGGGGAUUAAAACAAUCAUUGUAAAAUUAACCUCAUUCAGCUGUUGUUCUCUAUUAAGUACUCUAAGGCAAAAGUUUGUAACAUCCUUACCUACAAUCGCCCAAAAUCUUUGAAGAAACACUGCAUGGAAGCCAUCAAAACCCGGAGCUUUAUUUCCCCCAUCUCCUUAACCACCCUCCUAACUUCAUCAUCUCGGAAAGUGUCCAGCAACAUCCUGUUCAUCUCAAUUGUUAUCGUUUUUUGUACCCCUUCAAAAAAUUUUUGAGCUCCUCUACUUCCCUCACUCGCAAACAGUCCUUUAAAAUAACUGGUUACAAUUCGCAUAAGAUCUUCAUCCGUAUCUUUAAUGGACCAAUUUUGAUCCUUCAGCCUAGCGAUCUUAUUUUUACGAUCUCUUCUUGAGGCAAGAUUGUAGAAAAAACUAGUGUUCCGAUCCCCAUACCUUAACCAAUUCGAUCUAUCCCUUUGCUCCUAAUAGAGCUCUUCCUUAUCGAUCUCGAGAUUCAGUUCUAAUUUAGUCUUAAUCAUAGCCUCGAUAAUGUCAUCUGAAGGAUCUUCCUCAGACAAUUUAUUUAACUGGUCUGACAGCUUCUUCAUAUUCGCACUCCUCUCAUUCUUUAAAUGGCUAGCCCAUCUUCGUAGCCCAUCACCCAUCAGUGUUAAUCUUUCAGGCACUGACACAUUUUUAUUGGAGUCCCACAAAGAUCUAACCUGCUCAUGACAAGAAUUUUCUAACAGCCAAGCAGUUUCAAAACGAAAUAAACACCCUGAAUUUGAAGAAUUACCAUUGCUUGUCGAAAAUUCCAUAUCCAACAACAAAGGACACUGAUCAGAAGUUGAAUUAUCAAUGUGAAAGAGCCGAUAGAACGGAAACAUCUCAAUCCAACCCAAAUUAGCCACUCCCCUAUCAAGCCACUCUCUUAUAUUAUUUGCCUCAAAAUUCCCCCUUUCCCACGUGUACCAUCAGCCGCAAUACCCUAUAUCCACCAGCUCACAAUCUUCCAAAGCUGAUCGAAAAGCCUCUAUUUGCCUUGCUUCCCUCAAUCGACCUCUUUGUUUUUUAGAACUAAAUAAAAUCUCAUUAAAAUCCCCUAUAACAACCCAAGGCAAUUCAUUGUUCGUGCUCAGCUGCUUUAGCAAGUCUCAAGAAAAAUCCCUCCACCGAUAAUCCGGAAUACUGUAGAACCCUGUUAGUCUCCACUUUGUCGCCCCAUCACUAUUAACAAUAACUGCAUCUAUCUGAUUCCCCGAAAAACUUGAGAUGGUAACAUCCACCGAACUAUACCAACUCAAAGAAAGACCCCCUCGUGAUCCUUGAGCUGAAAUAUCCACCCUAUUCACAAAACCAAAUUUCCUUCUUAUUCUUUCCAUUCUCGAUUUCUCUACUUUUGUCUCCAUAAAAAAACAAACUUGGGGACAGUACUUUUUCAGCACAUGUCCGAACAGACCGUGGGUUCCCCAGCCCACGGACGUUCCAACUUAAUAUUUUCAUAAUGCCCGUUUGGUUGAUUUGAUUAACAUCUUCCUUUAAACCAUUUCUCACAUCAUAUCAUCGGUGGUGGAGGUAUUUUGAAUAUUAUUGGGUCUAGGCCUCUUUUUCCCCUCUCCUCCAAUAAUGGGUCGAUCCUCUUCAAUAGACCCAACUUCCAUUAACACCAACUCCUCAUUCACAAUCUGUUUUGACUUUCCAUAUAAAUUCAGCCCCAAAUUCGCUCCAUUAUUCCUCAUUAGAUUUAAUUCCCCCGAAUUCUUUCCUUAUUUGCCUUCAUCAUUUUUAGAAAUUCCCUGAUACCCUCCUCAAAUUUCAGUUGGUUCCCUUAACCAAAUAUUGCCUGUCGUCGCCGCCCUACGUGGAGGAGCUUUGAGCGAGAUAUCCUACUCAAGAGGAAGCUUCUUUCUCCCUGUCACCAUUCGUAUAGGACAACAAUUCUCACUAUGUCCGAGCUUGCCACACAGAAAAUAAAAUGUUGACAACCUUUCAUAUUUGAAAUUAGGAAAGAACUCUUUUUUUGCCAUAAUAAGUUUCUUUCUUCUCUUUAGACUUUGCCGGAUAUCAACUUUAACUCUAAUCUGCAUAUAAUUUCUUAGUCCCGCCAUAAUCGCUUUGACAUCGUACUCCACAAAAGCUCCAAUAAAAUCUCCAAACUGUUUAGCAAUAGCUUCCGUAAAGAAACCAGGUGGCAGAUUAUAAAUUUGAACCCAGAACUCUGUAUAUAAUAAAUCCACUUCCAAGGGAUCUUUGCCUUGUUUUAAGUGAUGAAAAAUAAGUAAAUGGUUGUUAAAAGCCCAAGGAGUGCUUCACUACCCUAUCAAAAUCCAUUUCACAAUAAAAAUUUAAAUAUAGCACAUCAUGUUUGACGAUGAUUUUUAAAUACUGUAUUAAUUGUAUAUAGCACAUCAUGUUUGAAAAUAAUUUCUAAAGACUUUUAAACAUCGCGUUAAUUGUUUAUGGCCCAUUGCCCAUGUUGCUUUUAUUAAAUUUUGGGUAAACUUCAAGUUAAUCAUUUCAUUUUGGUCAAAAAAAUUGCAUGGGAUGAGAGUCUCAGUAUAAAACAAAAACUAAUCUUUAAUGUUUAUGGCCAAACCCCACCCCACCUCUCCUAUCCUAUACUUCAUCUAUAAUAAUGGUUCAUGGCUUCUUCUAUCCUACACCUCAAUUAUUUGGAUUAGAUUGAAAAACAAUUGACACUUGAUUUGAUUGUGAAAUAAAGUUAAAUUUUAAAUUUAUAAUUGUAAUACCCGAUUUUGGCCCGGGUAAAAGGCCCAAAAUAUAAAUGGGUCUGCAAGACCCAAAAUGAACAGAGGCCCAAAUACAGAGGCCCAAAACGAAUGAAAAAACCCUAGGGUUUCUAAGGAUUAACAGCCCCGCAACCAUGUCCUCCACGCAAAUGGGAUCUUCGCAAUUUUCACCUGCAAUCACAAGAAAGGAAAGAAAAUCAAAUCAAAUCAAGCAGAUUUCUUUUAUUAUUUCUUUAUUUCAUUCGGCUAUAAAAUAGCCAUUGCAAUACUAUAACAGGGAUCCCGAUUUGAAAUAAAUAAGAAAAACAUAAUUAUUUGUGCAGCAAAACACAGUUAGUUCAAUAUUCGAAAGAGCAAAAAUCGUUCCAAGGUUGACAGUUAUUUUUUAUUUUUGUUAAUCUACAGUUAUUUCAUUUUAUGUUGUUAUCUAUAUGCUACAAAAAUAAAUAGAAAGAAAAGGAAAGAAUCGACUUGAGUGUUACCCAGAACCGUCGUGAACAGUCAGAAAUCGAAAGGUUUCUCGGUGAUUGGAGGUUCUUACAGCAGUGCUUUGUGGGUUUCGGGUCAAGAUCUGGGUUUAGGGGCUUCAAAGGGACAGAACAGGAGGUGUUCUCCUUUUUUGGCCACCGCAUAUGACGGUACCGCCGUCGGAGAUCGGCGGCCGGCGCGGUGGCUGAUUACCAGCCGAUGGCCGUACUGGAUGCCGGAGAGCGGGGAGGGGAGAGCCUUUUAGAGGAUUUUUUUGUUUUUUUAAAGGAAUGAGAAAAUGAAAUUUUUUAAGGUUUUUUUGGCUUAAAUAGCCUAGUGAAACGGUGCCGUUUCACCAGGCCUCCCCAGAUGCCAAAACGACGUCGUUUUGUGGAGGCCAACCCGACUCUGACCCGACCCGGCCUAGGAUCCGCGUGUUUUAUACGGAAUGUACAUAUUGGGAAUUCAACACGUGUCCUAACGUAUUGGAUGUGACGCAUUGAUUUCUCGAAAUGAAGAUUUUUUCUAAAAAAUAAUAAAGGAAAUAUUCUGAGUUUGGGAUUUUGGAGGAAUUGUGCCCUAACGUAUUGGGCCGCGAUUUCUUAAAUCUUGAAUAAAUGGAUAUUCUUUUAAAUUUUUAUUACACGAGUAUUUUGGCCUAAUUCAUUUUUGAGGAAAUUAGAAUGUCGUGCCCUAACGCAUUGGGUGUGGCAUUUUCUUUUUCUGAAAUGAUAAGGGUCUUAAUACGUAACGUUUUUAAAUUUUUGCUAAGGAUUAUAUAUUUUCAAAUUUUCGACAUUAAGACAUUAAUUAAUUAACUAGGUGCCAAUUUUUGGGCAUUAUGAGGGUGCUAAUCCUUCCUCAUACGUAACUGACUCCCGAAUCCGUUUUUCUGAAACUCGUAGACCAAAGCUAUUUUUUAGGUGAUCCAAUCACACCUUAAUAAAAGAUUGGUGGCGACUCCAAAUUUUUUUUUAAGUCGACAACUAAUUUUUGUUGUUUUCCAAAAAAAAAAUAGUUUCAACAAUAAUAUUUAACUUGAGUGUGAAUGAAUUUUUGACUUAAUUGAAAAUUGAAAAUUUUAAGUUCGAGUCUUAUUUAAUUAUGUGUGUAUAUCAUGUAUAAAUUUUGUUCAAAUUUAUUUUGAUUUAAUUCACAUACAAUAUAUUCUUAAUUAAAUUCGGAAUAUAUUUAUUAUCAAUUUAACCAUACAUUGUAACGAUGGAUUAAAAUUAUAGUUAAUUAUAUAUUGAAACUAAAUAAUUAGUUUAAGGAAUUAAAAGAUAUUAUUAUAUUUUAUAAAAUUUGAAUAUAUUAAUAAUUAAUUCGAGAUUAAAAAAUGGGAGAAGAAAAAGCUAAAACCAAACCUUUUUUACGGUUGGAACUAAACCCCAUGCGGUGUGGAAAAUUGCAAGUUUCCAGAAUACCUACACUUACUAAUUAUAAUAAAUAUCUUUUACUUAUUUAUCUAAUAAAUAUCUUUUACACAGUAGUAAUAAAUAAUAAAUAUAUAUUUAGUAAUUAAAUAUAAGUAUUACAAAUGUACAUAUAUUUUGUUUACAAUUGUACAAUAUCAUCACCAUCCAUUUGGCAAAUUUGAUUUGUUCAUAUAAUAUAAUAUUUUUAAUUUAUAACUAAUAUAAAUUACCAUAUAAUAAAAUAAUUAUAUACAUUAUAAUUUAAUAAUAAUUAAACAAUAAAAAUCUUAGAUUUUUUAUCAACAUUUGCCGCCUCAUUUAUGGUGAAUGGUAUAUCUCCCAUUUUGGUCCCCCUUUCUUUUUAUUAAUUCUUUUUCCUAAUUUCUCCUAAUUAAGCUAAAUUCACUUAAUUAAAUCCUAAUUAAACACACAACUAGCCUCACAAAUAUUCUUAAUAAAACAUUUAUAAACUCGGUUUACUCAGACAGAAGCCCUAUAACUCACUUUUUCGGUGCCCGUGAAUUUUGGGCCAUUACACAUUCUUCCGUGGACGACAUUUUUAGGCUGAGCGGUUCGAAGUAAUUACCAAGGUGAUUUUGUAAACUGUUUUUGGCUAAGUGAGUGAUGUUGGUGAAAAGGUGGCAAAAUGGCUACAAUGUUUCUAUAGCUUAUAUAUAAUGAACAUACGGAAAAUAUUUUUGUGUAAUAUCAAAUUUAACCCUUAAUAUUUAUAAUUUUACCAAUUUGAUUCUUAUUCUUUUUAGUUAAAUUUAAUUCUCUACCUUUUGAAAGUGUCAAAUUUUCUUGGCUGGAAGCUCACUGCAUUGAAGCCAAAAUCAAAACAAACUUUUGAUGGUUUAAUUGUUUUUGAGCCCUUCAAUUUCAGGUGCUAUGAGAAAUGGAUUACAACCUCAUCUUGUCGUUAUCCCAAAAUCAAAACAAGCAACUCUUGGUUGAAAGUUGAAACCAAGGGCCAAGUCAAAAUUGUUUUAGGAUGAGUCCAAAAUGAAUAAUGAAUUUGAAGGUUCAAAAUAAAAUUUUAUUAAUAUAUAAAUUUAUAAUUUCAUAAAUUUUAAAAGGAUUAAAUGAUAAAUUUACUAAUUUAAGAAGACAAUAGGGAUGGUCAAAUAUUCUAAUUGAACCUAUCUGCGAUCGGAUCGGGAUGGAUUUUUUUAAUUAAAAAAAUUAAAUAGAUUGAAUCGAAAUUCUAGGAGUUACAAAAUUCUCAUAAGAGUUUACAAAAAGUACACUUACUUUGGUUGAUGUAUGGUAUAAUAAGCCUGCAAAGCACCGAUAAAAAGUGCACCAAUGGCACCCACAAAUGCGAAAAACGUCCAACGAGUCCUAAAAAAAGUACGGUAAACUUGAGCUGGAUAUCUAAUCCACAUAUUGUUAUGAUGAUCAUGUAUUUGCAGUUUAACAUGUCUGUAAAUCAUCAGACUAGGAACCAAAUCCAUGUUCAUCUUCUUGAUAAGCCACUUCUUUAUCACUCCCAAAUCCAUGGUAUAGUAUGCCUGCGUCUCUCAGUUCCUUAACAUCUUCGGCUUCAUCGAUCAAUGAAUCAAGGAAACCCAUAUAUGAAGUGACGGUGAAAUUGUUGUAGAAAUCCGGACACAUUUCGUAAGCUAUUAAGUUCAUGGUUGAAUCAUCGACGGUGAGAGGCGGUAACCGUAAUUUUCCGACGAAGAAGUAAUGGUUGAAACUGAUGUCAGUUAAACAACUUGUUUCGCUUGCUUCUAACCAUAUCCCGGCGUUUUUAAGCUCUUUUACGUUACGAAACGGGUGUGAAUGGUGCGGUUUUAUUCUUGUAUGGUUUCUGCGAUUUGUGAAGGAUAUGCAAAACCUAGAAUGCCAUGGUUUUUCUUUUUUGAAAAGGAGUCUUACUCGUAGUAGAUGCAAUAAGUGAAUUGGCUCUUUAUUGCUGCGGCCACCAUUCACUAGAGCCAAAUCUGUGUUAGUCAGGAGCCAGCUAAAAUCAAGGUUUUCAAUGGUUGAAUCAAAUCAUUAUUAUUUAAUAAAAAAUUAUUUAAAUUAUUAAAUUACAUUUUAAUCCUUUUAAAAAUUAUUAAAUUAUAAAUUUAUAUACAAUAAAAUUAUAUUUUGACUCCUCAAAAUGAAUAAAAAAUUGUUUAAACACUUUUAAAAAAUGAUGAAAUUAUAAAUUAAUACAUAAAAAAAAAUCUAAAAAUCAAACCAAACUUGUGGAUCGGCCUAAUUAGAUAGAGAAUCGAGCAAGGUACUGAUCCAGAAUAAUAAGUUAAAUCCAUUGAAUCCAAUCAUCGAAUCGAUUUUUUAUAUAUUUUUAAUAUUUUUAAAAAUUUUUAAAAUUUUAUAUAAUUGAAUCGAAUAAACUAAUCAACCAAAAAUGAGACUCUAAUGGAUUCUAUCUAGUUAUAAAAACCUUUUAACAUUUAUAAACUCCACAAAAAUGGUUAAAAAGACUGUUUUCCCAGCUACCCCAAAGUGCUGAUGUGAUUGUGGGUCUUUAACAGUGCCGUUGAUGAACCUUAUGAUUGCCUCCAUGAAUUUUGUGCCAUAGAUGUGAAUCAGUUGGAAAUGAAGGCCUAUGAUAAAGCUAGUUUAUGACAUAAAAGGUUAGGCCAUGUCAAUUAUAGAUCACUCGGUUUGCUGCACAAACUCAUUUUGGUUGAAGACAUGUCCAAGGUUGUAACGCAUAUAAACUGCUUGAAAAAUUGCGCAGCCGUCAACGAAGAACAUCCAAGCCAGUUUCUCGUUAUGGUUACUAUACUUCUCUAAUUCCUUUGGAUCAAAGCAUUUUUCAAGCCAUUCUGUCUUCAUGUUGUUGUACAAGGUAUGCUUAUCGACGCCAAUUUUUUUGACAAAAUGUGCUGCUAAUUUGAGGGGAAAUAGAGAUAUUAUGGAGGGUGGCAUCAUAGUGGUAGAAUGGGCCGAUUGAGAUCACUUUCGGCUUGAAAUACUUACUGAAAUCUUCGUGACGACCAAGGGUUGAUGGGACUUUUCGGAUCAAUGGAUUGCAUGUGCCGUUGGAAGCUUUGACUAAUGACUCGAGAUUCGCUAAUUCGCCCUUCCAGCGUAGCAAGUCAAUACAAAUGCUCACGAAAUCGUUGUUGUUGGUGAUUGUUUGAUCAGUGGAAACUGCUCCGACGGCGCCGCCUCCUUCCUCCGUGGAAGACAUUUUCAGGCUGAGCGGUUGGAAGUAAUAAAGAAGGUGAUUUUGUAAACUGCUUUUGGCUGAGUGAGUGAUGUUGGAGAAAAGGUGGCAAAAUGGCUACGAUGAUGACAAAUAUUUUAUAGCCUACAUGAUAAACAUAUAUGGGAAAUACUUAAGGUGUAAUUCAAAUUUACCCUUAGUGUUUAUAUUUUUACUAUAAUUUUAAUUUUUUAAUUAAAUUUAUUUCUCUUUUGAAAGAGUCAAUGAUAAAAAAAGAAAAGAAAAGUUAAAUUAAUGUUUUUUAACAAAAAUAGUAACAAAUAUUAAAAUUGUGAAUAACAUUAUAGAACUUAAAUACUCAACGCAACUCAAGAAACUAAUGGUGGGUCUGGAUGGGCAGUGCGGUGCGGUGCGUUUAGCCUACUUUUUGUCUCAUGCUACAGUGUUGCUACAGUAUCUAAUCUCACCGCCACCACUGUUUUUACACUAACCACAGGUAAACGCACCGUCCAUCCAAACUCACCCUAAGACCCUAUCAAAGGGAGAAUUUUAUAUCUACAACACUUCCUAAAUUUCAUUAGCUUAAUAAUAGCUAUUCAAUUUUUUUUUUCAUUUUUUUACUUAAAUUAUUUUUACUUACUUUAUAUUAGAUAAAUUAUUCCAAAUAUUUAAUAUUUUACAUAUAAUAAUUGCAUUUGUUAUUCUACCUAACUCAUGAAAAAUCUCAAUUUUGCAACAUCACAUGCCAACCAACCAAUUUAUUAUUCACAUUCCAACUUUCUAAAUGCAUCAAAUAUUUCAUAGCAAAGAUCAUGCCAAGAACCCACAUGCAAAGUCAUUAUAUACCACAUUAAACUACAUUUAACUCAACAAGACUUUUACAUAACCAAAGAUUACUCCAAACGUUUAUACGCAUUGACUCAAAAUGAUAAAAAAUAAACUACCAAAUUGAUGAGAAAAUAGUUUAAGCUUAGAACAAUCCAACCGACGUGUUCUACAAGAUAACAACCUAAAAAAAAAAAAGAAACAAUGAGAUACGCAUAUAAUAUGUUUAGUAAACUCAUAUGAAAAGUAAAACUUACCUAGAUCAAUUGAACAUAAAAAAUUACUCAAUAAGCUAUCGAAUUAAUUUUUCCUUAGCACUUAUAUAUAUAUAGUACAUGUAACAACAUUUCAAGUCAAAAGUGUUAGAUACAAUGUUGAAUCAUAAUCCUGUCAACAUUUAAAACAUAAUCACAUAGCAAUCUAUAUACCAAAUUUCAUCAAUACCAGUUCAUUUUCAAUUCAAGACUUAAUUCCAUUUCCAACCAUUUAAUCAUCCUCUGAUGGAACUACAGUAAAAAAGACCUAGGUACAUGGGAAUAUUUUGCUGACACUGUAACGAACUUACUCACAAAAGUUGACUUUAUAUUGGAAUUGUUCACACAAGUUAACUUUGUAAUUUAUAUAAUGUAAAAUUUAAGAUUUUUAUAUUAUGUAAAUCAAAGCUUAAUAUUGCAUAACUAAUUAGUUUUGAGUUUUCAAAAUAAUAUGGCUUUAUAAAGAUAUAGAAUUCUUGAUAUAAGUCUUAACAAGGGAAAAAUUAAGGAUAGGAAAAUUGUGGUGGAAAGGGGGUCAAUUUCUCCUAAACAGGUGGAGAUCUGGAGAAGGAUAAGAGAAGGAAGAUGGUUGAUGUGAAGGCUAAGAGUAAUUGUUAAAGGUUGCUAACAGGGAGGAUCCCUUUCUCAUGAAGAUGAUUUUUAAACACCGUGUUAAUUGUUUAUGGGCCAUCAUGUUUGACGAUAAUUUUUAAAUACUGUGUUAAUUGUAUAUAGCACAUCAUGUUUGACAAUAAAUUUUAAAGACUUUUAAACGUCGCAUUAAUUGUUUAUGGCCCAUUGCCCAUGUUGCUUUUAUUAAAAUUUGGGUAAACUAUAAGUUAAUCACUUAAUUUUUAUAAAAUUUCAUUUUGGUCUCAGGAUAAAACAAAAAUUAGGAUAAAUGUAAUGUUGAAAUGAAUAUAGUGGGAAUCUUUAAUGUUUAUGGCCAAACCCCACCUCUCCUAUCCUAUACUUCAUCUAUCAUAAUGAUUCUUGGCUUCUUCUACAAUUGCCUUCACAAAAUGAAGCUGACAUUUGAGGUUGUCCUUCAUUUACUUUUGUUUUCUUCCUAUGAUAUAAAUGCAAGUAGAAUAUAAAUUAUACAUUUGUAAUUAGAUUGAAAAAUAAUUGACACUUGAUUUGAUUGUGAAAGAAGUUUUAGUUUAAUGAAAUGAAUGAGUUAAAUUUUAAAUUUAUAAUAUUUAACUUGAGUGUGAAUGAAUUUUUGACUUAAUUGAAAAUUGAAAAUUUUAUAAAUUUUGUUCAAAUUUAUUUUGAUUUAAUUCUCAUAUUGUAUAUUCUUAAUUAAAUUCGGAAUAUAUCAAUUUAGUCAUACAUUGUAACGAUGGAUUCGAAUUAUAGUUAAUUAUAUAUUGAAACUAAAAAUCUUAGAUUUUUAUCAACAUUUGCCGCCUCAUUUAUGGUGAAUGGUAUAUUUCCCAUUUGGUCCCCCUUUCUUUUUAUUAAUCUAUAAUUCUACUUCUACCCCCAUUCAAUUUAGCCCUUUUUCCUAAUUUCUCUUAAUUAAGCUAAAUUCACUUAAUUAAAGCCUAAUUAAACACACAACUAGCCUCACAAAUAUUCUUAAUAAAUACUUACGAACUCGGUUCACUAAGACGGAGGCCCUAUAACUCACUUUUCUAGUGCCCGUGAAUUUUGGAUCAUUACACCUUCUUCCGUGGACGACAUUUUUAGGCUGAGCGGUUCGAAGUAAUUAACAAGGUGAUUUUGUAAACUGUUUUUGGCUGAGUGAGUGAUGUUGGUGAAAAGGUGGCAAAAUGGCUACAAUGUUUCUAUAGCUUAUAAAAUGAACAUACGGAAAAUCUUUAAUUAAGAUUUAAAUGUAUAAAAGUAUAAAUUAUAAUAGUAAAAUUGUACUUUAAUCUUAUAAAUCGCAAUACUUUAAUUUAGUUAUUUAAAAAAUUAGAAAUAUAUUAGUUAAUAUAAUGAUAAAAUUACGUUUUAACUUUAUCAAAAUUUAUAACUUAAUUUCAAUCCAAAUUCUUACUUCACCCUUAUUUCCGCACUAAUAAAAGUUAUAAUCUGUGUUAAAUAUCGGAUUAGUAUAUGGAUGAUAUUAAAAAUAUAUAUAAAAAUAUAAAAUCUCUAAAAGCUUAAUCAACACACAUUCAGGUGUACGCUUUUAUUAAACUUUGAUUUUUUUAGUACGAGAUUAUCUGGAUUCUUUAAAAUAAUGUUAUGGAUAAGUUUUUGUUUAAUGUAUUGGUUGGUUUUUUUUUUUUUUCCUUUUAGAUUUGAUGAAUGAUAGAUUUUUGUUUGUGAAGUUUAUCUAUGAAUAUUUAUAUAAUUAUUAAUAAUUUUAUAUUUAAAAUUUAUUUAAUAUUUUAAAAUUUUAUCGAUAAUUUUGAAAGGAUAUAUAAAAACAAAUCGAUAUUGAUAUGUAUCAAUUUCUGUAGAAAAACGGUGCGUCCAUCAGUGCAAUACUAACUACCUUGGAUAAGAAAACAUUUAAUCCUUAAAUUUGGCAACUUUUCUCAACUUAGUCAUUAAACUUUUUUUUUAUCUACACUAGUCUUCUAACUUGACAACUUUUCUAAAUUUUGAUGCAUGUGAUGACAUCGCAUUCUGAUUUUGUAUCAUAGGGGUGUUCGAAUUUCGAUUAAAAUUGAAUUAACUGACCGAACCAAUCUAAUUCAGUUAAUCAGUCAGUUAAUCAAUCUAGUUCUAUCAGAGGUCGGUUAAAAGUUUUUUGGAAUUUCGGUUAAUGGUUAAUUUGAUUCGAAAUUAGGUAAUUAACUGAAUUACCCAAACUUAAUAAAUUAGACUUGUAGGCUAGGAAGCACAGACACGGCUCAUCCCUCCUCGUACCGGUAUCGUACGUGUGUCCGACACAGACACUCGACGGACAUGCCUAGAUACGUAUGGAACAAGCUGGAAUAUGCCAAAAAAAAUAUUUUUUUUAUUGCCAUAUCUUGCUGUAUCCGUGUCCUUAUUUUCUAAAAAUUACCAUGUUGCUGUGUCUGUAUCAUGUCGUACCCGUAUUGCGUGUCUGUAUCCAUGCUCCAUAGCUUGUAGGUAAGGGCCGAACAAAGAAUCCAGUAAGGCACUAGUCUAGAAUAAGGAGUUAGACCAAUUGAAUCGAGUUAAUGAAUUGAUUUUCUUUAUAUUUUUAAUAUAUCUUUAAUAUUUUUAAAAUUUUAUAUGAUUUAACCGAGUGGUUAAUCAAUAAAAAUUGAGAGUCUAAUAGAUUUAAAAAAAAAAAAAACCUUUUUAACAUAUAUAAACUCCAAAAAAAUAUUCUUUUUUAAAUUCCUUAAAUUACCUGUCCUGCUGAUGUGAUUCUGGCUUUUUAACAGUAUUGUUGGUGAACCCUACGGUUGCCUCCAUGAACUUUUUGUCAUCGUUCGAUCUUGUAAGCAAUUCAAGAACACGAAAAGGUAAUUGGUUUUCCAACAAGAACAGAUCCGAGUACUCAAAUGUCAGCAGUUCGUUUUUAAUAGACAAUUCGUUCGACAUAUGCUCAUAAUCUUGGCCAUCAACAUCAUCAUUACCGUAACGAUAUAAACUGCUUGUAAAAUUGUGCAGCCGUCAACGAGGAACAUCCAAGCCAGAUUCUCGUUAUCGUUGGUAUACUUAUCUAAUUCCUUUGGAUCAUAGCAUUUCUUCAAGUCAUCGAUCUCUGUCUUAAUGUUGUUGUACAAGGUUCCCCUAUCGACGCCAAUGUUUUUGACGAAAAGUGUUGUUAAUUUGCACUUGAGCUUCUUGGAUUCAUGGAGGGUGGGAUCAGCGUGGUGAGUGGACCGAUUGAGAUCACUUUCGGCUUGAAAUACUUCCUGAAAUCUUCGUGACGGCCAAGGGUUGAUGGGAGUCUUCGUAUCAAUGGUUUGGCUUUGGGGUCGAGUUGUUUGCCGUCGAAAGCUUCGUCUAAUGACCGGAGAUUCUCUAAUUCGCCAUUGCUGAGAGUGAGCUCCGUACCCGGCAUUGGAAUGAUCGUCUCUUGGGGAUUGUUGGUGGUGGUGUUUUUGGUGAUUGUUUGAUCAGUGGAAACUGCUCCGCCGGGAGCUCCGACGGCGCGGCCUCCUUUCUCCGUGGACGACAUUUUCAGGCUGAGCGGUUCGAAAAAAGGUGAUUUGGGAAACUGUUUUUGGCUGAAUGAGUGAUGUUGGAAAAAAGGUGGCAAAAUGGCUACGAUGACGACAAGUGUUUCUAUAGCUUAUAUAAUAAACGUAUGGAAAAUAUUUUGGUGUAAUAUUAAAUUUAACCCUUAAUAUUUAUAUUUUUUUAAUUUGAUUCUUAUUCUUUUUAAUUAAAUUUAAUUCUCUAUCUUUUGAAAGAGCCAAAUUUGAUUACCAAUCUUUUAGAAAAGAGUUGAAUUAAUAUUUUUUAAUGAAAACAGUGAUUAAAAUAUUAAAUUUGUAAACAUGACAACUCAUAUGGUAAUCCAUGUGUACAUAUUUUUUAUUUUUUAUUUUUAAAUAAUUUGUUGACGUGUGACAUAUAAGAAAAGCAGUGUUAUGUUAGCACGAAGUGCACAUGGAUUGCCACACGAGUUGUAACACCAACACCGUUAAAAAUUUAAUAUUUUAGUUAAUAUUUUUGUUAAAGAAAAACAAUUUAACUCUUUUUUGAAAGGUUAAUGACUAAAUUUAGCUCAAAUAAUAAUAAUAAAAGAACAGAGGCCAAUUUGGCAGAAAAAUGUAAAUAUCGAGGACUAAAGGCCAAUUUGAUAGAAAAAUGUAAAUAUCGAGGACUAAAUUUAUCAUUAUGUCAUUCUUUUUAAGGUUAACUUAUAUGAAUACAAUAUAAGUUCAAGUACAAAUAUAUGUAUGGAUUAAUCUAAAAAGAACUAGACAAAAUCCACACAUGAUAUACGCAUAUGAUGAGAGUAAAACUCACACAUCACAAUUAAGAAUAAUAUUAUAAAACCUAAAUACUCAGAGACUUAAAACCUUCGCAUUAACCAAAAAGUGAAGACCCCAUCAUAUGGAGAAUUUUAUAUCUACAUACGACAAUAUUUCUCGGAUUUCAUACGCUUAAUACUAGCUCUUCAAAUAUAUUCAUUUUUCAUUUUAUUACUUAAAAGUUAUUUUGAUUUACUUUAUAUUGAUUUCAAUCAUAUUGAUCCGUAGAUAUUGUUUCAAUAAGAAAUCGAAUUUUUUUUUUUAAAAUGAGAUGAUUUUGUUGUGGGUUUUUUAAAAUAGUGUUACGGAUAACUUUUUUGUUUAAUGUUUUGGUUGGCUUUUUUUUUUUUCUUUUUUUCGAAUUUUUGAAUGAUGAAUUUUGCAUGUAAAGAUUAUUGAUGAAUAUUUAUAUUUAUUUAAUUUCAUUCAUUUAAUGUUUUUAAAUCUUUUUUAUAUAUUAAAUAUUUUAGAAAUUUAUCGAUAAUUUCGAAAAGAUAUACAAAAACAGGCCAGUACUAAUAUGUAUCCGUUUUUGUAAAAAAAAUGUGCGUCCAUUAGUGUAGUACUAACUACCUUAGAUAAAAAACUGUUUAGUCCUUAAAUUUGGUAACUUUCCUCAACUUAGCACUUAAGCUUUUAUUUUAUCUACAUUAGUCUUCUAACUUUGACAGCUUUUCUCAAUUUCGAUGCAUGUGAUGACACAACACUAUGAUAUUGAGAUGCUAUCAUCUAAAAAUUAUAUUUUUAAUAAAAAUUAGGUGUUAACAUGGGAGAAACAUUAUUAUAAUAACCAAAAAUGAGAAAAGUUGUCAAUUUUCAUGAUUGAUGUGGACAGUGGUGAAGAUAAGGGGCUGGUAGGGGCAGAAAAUUUUUUUUCAUUUACGUCCUUUUAUAAUUUAUAAAAUUUUAAAUUAGUAGUGGUAAAAUUAUAUUUUGUCACCCAAAAAUGAAAAAAAUUAAUUUAAUCCUUUAAAAUGAUAAAGUUAUAGACUAUUAAAAUGGUAAAAUUACAUUUUUAUUAUCAUAAAAAUAUACAACUUAAUUCCGGCCCCUCCCAAAAAAAAUUUUGGCUUCGCCCCUGAAUGUGGACCAAAAAAGAAAGUCUAGAGACCAAAUUGAAAAAUUUUGUCAAAUUUAAGGAUUAAAUGUUGUCUUAUUAUUUUAUUUAACAAAAAGUGUGCUAUAUACACCAAAGUCUCGUAAUUGAAUAAUAAAAUUUCGAUGUUUUUAAGUAAAUCUUGAAUUUAAAUCUUAUGAAUAAAGAAAAUAAUACUAAAUAAAUUUUACUAUCUACUUACGAAUUCAACUCAAUUUCAAAUUUAACUACCAAAUAUCAAAGCUCUUAUAAAAAAAAAGGUAUUGUAAACUUUGUUGUAGUGUAUUUUAUUUUGAUCCAAAAUAGUGAAAAGGAAAUGCAUCCUAAAUUUAUUCAAACCAAAUUAUUAACUUUAAGUGUAAAUUGGGUAAGUGUAACAUAAUUGUUCUCUUUUUUUUUUUUAAUUUAGUCCUUUUCCUAAAUACAACAUAUAUUUUAUAAUAGAUAAUUGAAUUAAUUAAACCAUCAGUUCAUCGUUCAGUUCAACCUAAUGACGGAACGUAAGAGGAGAUUCCCUUCAAAAUUUUAGAAAAUUAUCACUAAAUUUUCUGAUUCAUGUUAGAAUUGACACAUUUAAUUAAAAAUAUUUAAACAUUAAAAUAAUCAAAAAGUCCCUAAGUUCAACUUACGGACGAAAAUUUUCAAAACUUGCCUUUAAUUUUCUCAAAAUUUUUGAUUAAAUCUCUUAAAUUUUAUUUUCAAAAAAAGAAUUUCAUUAAACACAAAAAAUUAAAUAGAUUGAAUCCAACAUCUAGGAGUUACAAAAUUCUCAUAAAUAACCAGAGUUUACAAUGAGAAUAGUAAACAACAAUUACUUUGGUUGAUGUAUGGUAUAAUAAGUCUGCAAAGCAGCAAUAAAAAGCCAGCAAUGGCACCCACAAAAGCGAAAAACGUCCAACGAGUCCUAAAAUAAGCAUGAUAAGCUUGAGCUAGAUAUUGAAUCCACAUAUUCUUACAAUGAUUAUGUAUUUUCUGUUUAACAUAACUGUAACUAGGAACCAAAUCAGUGUUCAUAUUCUUGAUAAGCUUAGCCACUUCUUCAUCACUCCUCAAUCUAUUGUAUAGUAUACCGGCGUCUCUCAGUUCCUUAACAUCUUCGACUUCAUCGAUCAAUGAAUCAAGGACACCCAAAUAUGAAGUGACGGUGAAAUCGUUUUUGAAAUCCAGACACAUUUCGUAAGCUAUUAAGUUCAUGGUUGAAUCAUCGACGGUGAUCGGCGGAAACCAUAAUUUCCCGACAAAGAACACAUGGUUGAAAUUUAUGUCGUUAAACAACUUGCUUCGCUUGCUUUUAACCAUAUCCCGGCCUUUUUAAGCUCUUUUACGUUACGAAAGGUGUGUGAAUGGUGCAGUUUUGUUCUUGUUUGGCUGCUGCGAUUUAACGUGCACAUGAAACGAGUGCAAAACCUAUAAUGCCGCCAUGGUUUUUCUUUUUUUCCUUUUUUGAAAAGAAGUCUUUCUCGUAGUAGAUUCAAUAGGUGAAUUCGCUGCUCUUCUUUUUGCUGCAGCCACCAUUCACUAGAGUAAAAACUGUGUUAGUCGGAAGCCAAGCUACAAUUUCUUUUCUUUAUUUUAUUUUAUUUGGAAUUGUAAAUUUUUAUCAAAACUAAAAUUAAGGUUUUUAAAAUGGAUAGUAAAACCAGUCAAAACAUCUAUUUAUAAGUUUAAUUUAUCCGAUCAAUUCAUCCAAUUUGAUUAAAUAAAUUAUUUCAAAUUUCAAUUCGAUUGUCCGGCUUAAUUAAUUUAUUUUCCCGAUUCAACCUGUUCAUAUAGGUUCCCAAAUCAAUUAGUCUAAUAACUUUCUUUGGACUGAUACCUCAAUUAAAUUCCAAUCCAAUCCGAUUCAAACAACUUUAGCUAAAAUACAAUUUUUAUUAUUGUAUUAAUGCAAAAAUUUUACCAUUUUUAAAGAUAUAAUUUUUCCUUUUUGAAAAGGUGGAUUUGAACUCAUAAUUUGUUGGCUUAAGCGUCUAAAAUCCCUCGUUUGAAAAAGCAAUUAAACCUUCUUCUUCUUUUUUCAUUCAUUUGGGUGCUUGAACUUUUAAAAUAAAUCAAAAAGGUCCUUAAACCUUUUUUUAAAUAAAAAAAGCAAUUAAGCCUCUACUUUUUUUUGCACACAAUUGGGUACUUUGACUUUCAAAAUGCAUCAAAAAGACCCUCAAAUUUUUUCAAAAAAAAAAGUUAAGCCCCUGCUUUUUAUUAAAAAUUAGAAAAAAUUUAUAAAAAGUUAAAAUUAAUAAAAGCUAUAAAUCUUGUCGAAACCGAUUUUUUGAAAAAAACAAAAUUUUUAGGUUGUCGACUUAAAAAAAAGAAAAUUGGGAGUCGCCACCAAUCUUUUAUUGAGGUGUGAUUGGAUCACCUAAAACGACUUUGGUUUACGAAUUUUAGAAAAACGGGUUCGGAAGUCGGUUACGUAUGAGGAAGGAUUAGCACCCUCAUUACGCCCAAAAAUUGGUACCUAGUUAAUUAAUUAAUGUCUUAAGGUCAAAAAUUUUAAAAAUAUAAUCUUUAAAAACUUAAAACGUUGCAUAUUAAGACCCUUUUCAAUUCAGAGAAGCAAAAAUNNNNNNNNNNNNNNNNNNNNNNNNNNNNNNNNNNNNNNNNNNNNNNNNNNNNNNNNNNNNNNNNNNNNNNNNNNNNNNNNNNNNNNNNNNNNNNNNNNNNNNNNNNNNNNNNNNNNNNNNNNNNNNNNNNNNNNNNNNNNNNNNNNNNNNNNNNNNNNNNNNNNNNNNNNNNNNNNNNNNNNNNNNNNNNNNNNNNNNNNNNNNNNNNNNNNNNNNNNNNNNNNNNNNNNNNNNNNNNNNNNNNNNNNNNNNNNNNNNNNNNNNNNNNNNNNNNNNNNNNNNNNNNNNNNNNNNNNNNNNNNNNNNNNNNNNNNNNNNNNNNNNNNNNNNNNNNNNNNNNNNNNNNNNNNNNNNNNNNNNNNNNNNNNNNNNNNNNNNNNNNNNNNNNNNNNNNNNNNNNNNNNNNNNNNNNNNNNNNNNNNNNNNNNNNNNNNNNNNNNNNNNNNNNNNNNNNNNNNNNNNNNNNNNNNNNNNNNNNNNNNNNNNNNNNNNNNNNNNNNNNNNNNNNNNNNNNNNNNNNNNNNNNNNNNNNNNNNNNNNNNNNNNNNNNNNNNNNNNNNNNNNNNNNNNNNNNNNNNNNNNNNNNNNNNNNNNNNNNNNNNNNNNNNNNNNNNNNNNNNNNNNNNNNNNNNNNNNNNNNNNNNNNNNNNNNNNNNNNNNNNNNNNNNNNNNNNNNNNNNNNNNNNNNNNNNNNNNNNNNNNNNNNNNNNNNNNNNNNNNNNNNNNNNNNNNNNNNNNNNNNNNNNNNNNNNNNNNNNNNNNNNNNNNNNNNNNNNNNNNNNNNNNNNNNNNNNNNNNNNNNNNNNNNNNNNNNNNNNNNNNNNNNNNNNNNNNNNNNNNNNNNNNNNNNNNNNNNNNNNNNNNNNNNNNNNNNNNNNNNNNNNNNNNNNNNNNNNNNNNNNNNNNNNNNNNNNNNNNNNNNNNNNNNNNNNNNNNNNNNNNNNNNNNNNNNNNNNNNNNNNNNNNNNNNNNNNNNNNNNNNNNNNNNNNNNNNNNNNNNNNNNNNNNNNNNNNNNNNNNNNNNNNNNNNNNNNNNNNNNNNNNNNNNNNNNNNNNNNNNNNNNNNNNNNNNNNNNNNNNNNNNNNNNNNNNNNNNNNNNNNNNNNNNNNNNNNNNNNNNNNNNNNNNNNNNNNNNNNNNNNNNNNNNNNNNNNNNNNNNNNNNNNNNNNNNNNNNNNNNNNNNNNNNNNNNNNNNNNNNNNNNNNNNNNNNNNNNNNNNNNNNNNNNNNNNNNNNNNNNNNNNNNNNNNNNNNNNNNNNNNNNNNNNNNNNNNNNNNNNNNNNNNNNNNNNNNNNNNNNNNNNNNNNNNNNNNNNNNNNNNNNNNNNNNNNNNNNNNNNNNNNNNNNNNNNNNNNNNNNNNNNNNNNNNNNNNNNNNNNNNNNNNNNNNNNNNNNNNNNNNNNNNNNNNNNNNNNNNNNNNNNNNNNNNNNNNNNNNNNNNNNNNNNNNNNNNNNNNNNNNNNNNNNNNNNNNNNNNNNNNNNNNNNNNNNNNNNNNNNNNNNNNNNNNNNNNNNNNNNNNNNNNNNNNNNNNNNNNNNNNNNNNNNNNNNNNNNNNNNNNNNNNNNNNNNNNNNNUACUAUAUAUAUAUAUAUAUAUAUAUAUAUAUAUUAUAUAUUUACGUUUCGUUUCGUCUCAAACUUAAAACCUUUUAAAAACGUUUUUAAGUUUUUUAAAUUUUGGUGCGGAACAAAAAAGUGAAUUGAAUUUAAAGUUGGAUCGAGUGAAUAAAUGGAUAGAGCUCCACGGCCCCAAUUAUAGGGAAACAAAAAGUAACGAGCUUCUGUUCUCAAUUUGAAUAAUUACCUAAUCUAAUUAAACUUUAAAAAGAAAUUAGUGCCUAAUGUGGUAAAGGUUUUUCUCAUGAGUAAAUUCUCGGUUUUUUUUGAGUCCUAAUUAUUAUUAUUAGGCAUUCCCUUUAUGGGUUAGCCAUGAAUGUGUAGAAGAAGCAGUAUAUUGAUAAAGAAAAUAACUUUUUUUCUAAAAUCAAAAGAGCGAUUGGGUUGAAAAAAUAAAGGAUUUCUAACCGUCAUAUAUGUUGAUUCAAAUAUAAUUCAUACCAAAAUAAAAUUGAUUAUUAAGUUAAAAUAAAAUUUAGGAUGUGAAAGAAGUUCAAAAAAAAAAUUAAUGCAAAAGAAAGAUAAGGGUAUUUUUUUUAGGUCAUGGAUGUAACAACGAAGCUCGGUUAUUGUUGGUGUUGUAUGGAAGAAUCGAAGAUGUUGUGAAUGAGUUUUUAGGGUUUUAAAGUUUAACAUUGAAAGAUUGUUGUUUGUGGGUAUGUGACUGUUUUCGAUGUAAGGAAUGGUAUAAAAAAAUUACGAUUUAGGGUUUUAUUAUAUAAAUAAAGAAAGCGCCUUUUAAGAUUGUUAGAGGCACCUAUCUUUGUUUUUAGUGUAUGUAUCAUGGUCCUGAUGAUGCGGUACAAGUUUAGUUCUUUUGAGUGUGUCUUGUGAUGUGAAGUCUGUUUUGUUGGGGCUCUUGGCUCCUAUGUUUCAAUGAUAAUAAAAUAUACGUCAAACAAAAUUCUCACAAAAAACAGAGUUUACAAAACGACUAGUAAACAACACUUACUUUGGUUGAUGUAUGGCAUAAUAAGUCUGCAAAGCACCAAGCAAAAGUGCAGUAAUGGCACCCACAAAUGCCAAAAACGUCCAAGGACUCCUAAAAUAAGUAUGAUAAGCUAGAGCUGCAUGCUUAAUCCGCAUAUUCUUACAAUGAUUAUGUAUUUUCCGUUUAACCCCACCGUAAAUCAUCGGACUAGGAACCAAAUCAGUGUUCAUCUUAUUGAAAAGGUUAGCCACUUCUUCAUCACUCCCCAAUCCGUUGUAUAGUAUGCCGGUGCCACUCAGGUCUUUAACAUCUUCGGCUUCAUCGAUCAAUAAAUCAAGGAAACACAUAUAUGAAGUGACAGUGAAAUCGUUUUUGAAAUCCGGACACAUUUCGUAAGCUAUCAAGUUCAUGGUUGAAUCAUUGACGGCGAUUGGCGGUAAACAUAAUUUUCCAACGAAGAUACGGUUGAAACAGAUUCGUAGUAGAUUCAGUAGGUGAAUUGGACUUGCAGCUUCCACCAUUACCAUUUUCUAGAGCUAAAUCUGUGUCAAGUCAUCGAUUUAUAAGUUUAAUUGAUCCGAUAUAUUCAUAUUUGUUGAUUAAAUAAAUCAUUAAAAAUUUUGAUUUUAUUAUUUAGUUCAAUAAGUUUUUUUUUUUUUUUUACAAUUCAACCUGAUUCUUAGGUCAAUCGAUCUAAUGACUUUCUUUAAACUCAUACCUCAAUUAAUUUUCAAUCCAAUAUAAUCCAAACAACAUUUGGUAAAAUAUAAUUUUAUUUUACCAUUUUGAAAAGUUGGAUUUGAAAAUGCACACUCAACAGGAUCAAUACAAAGGGACAGGCGAGGUCGUUCUCAAAAAUAGAAAAUUAUAUUUUCAUCCUUUUUAAAUUAUUAAAUUAUAAAUUUAUAUAAUAAAAUUACACUUUAACCUUUUAAAAUGAAAAAAAAAAUUGUUCAACCUUUUUAAAACUGAUGAAAUUAUAAAUUAAUAAAUGAAAAAAAAAGAGAAUGAGACGAAACUUGUUGAUCAAGCUAGUUGGAUAGAGAAUUAAGUAAAGGUGCUCAUGGGUAAGGUUGAACCCAAUAAAAGAUUUAUGCCUCAGCUUGGCCCACUCGUUUUAAUUUUUUUAAAAUUUUUUAAAUAUUUUUAUAUAAUUUUUAAAUAUAUAUGAUACAUUAAAAAUACUAAAAAACAUUAAAAUAAAUAUUUCCCAACAAACUAAAUUUUUUUUAAAAAUAUGUAUACUUAAAUAACAUUAAAGUAGACACUGUGAAAUGGUAGUAAAAUAGGAAGAAAAUGACAAGAAACUAGCAUUAAAACAAUAAAAAAAUAACAUAUUUUUUUGUCCUUUUGUGAUUCGGGCUAGGGUUGGGCCAAAAAUGUCUUACCCGAGACUUGGCCUAUUUUCAAAACUAGAUUUUUUUUUGCCUAAGUCAAUUUUUUAGGUCUAUAUUUUUACUUAAACCCUUAUAUUUCUCGGACGAGCCAAAUGACCCAAUCUAUGAGUAAGUCUAGAAUCAAGCAAGAUACUGGUCCAGAAGAAAAGGAUAGACAAAUUGAAUCGAAUAGUAAAAUCGAUUUUUUUAUAUUUUUAAUAUAACUUUAAUAUUUUUUAAGAUUCUAUAUAAUUUAAACGAAUGAACUAUUCAACCGAAAAUGAGGAUCUAAUCGAUUCCAUCACCUAGUUAUAAAAAUCUUUAACACUUAUAAACUCCACAAAAUAUUCUUUUUAAAAUUCCUUAAAUUACCUGUCCCGCUGAUGUGAUUGUGGCUCUUUUAUCUCGGCUGGGUUGACAACAGUGUCGUCGAUGAACCUUUUGAUUGAAUCCAUGAACUUUUUGCCAUCCCCCGAGCUUGUAAGCAAUUCAGGAACACGAAAAGGUGAUUGGUUUUCCAACAAGAACAGAUCCGAGUACACAAAUGUCAGCAAAUCGUUUUUAAUGAAAUUCGUUCGACUUACGAUCAUAAUCUUGGCCGUAACGCAUAUAAACUGCUUGUAAAAUUGCGCAGCCGUCAAUUCCUUUGGAUCAUAGCUUUUCUUCAAGCCAUCCGGCUCUGUCUUCAUGUUGGUAUCAUUAUCGAUGCCAAUUUUUUUAACGAAAUUUGCUGCUAAAUUGAGCUUGAGCUUCUCGGACUCGUGGAGGGUGGGAUCAUCGUGGUGGAGUGGGCCAAUUGAGAUCACUUUCGGCUUGAAAUAUUUCCGGAAAUCUUCGUCACGGCGAAGGGUUGCUGGGACUCUUUUGUCAAUAGUUUGGCUUUGGGGUCGAGAUGGUCCCCUUCGAAAGCUUCGUCUAAUGACCAGCAAUUCCGUGAUUCGCCAUUGCUGUGAGUGAAGUCCGUACCCGGUAUUGGAAUGAUCGUCUCUAGGGGAUUGUUGUUCGUGUUGUUAUUGAUGACUGUUUGAUCAGUGGAAACUACUCCACCGGGAGCUCUGACGGCGCCGCCUCCUUCUGUAACACCCCUAUACCAUGUUUGACUUAAGGAACCUAAUAUAAGAAUAUUACAUUUGAUGCCAAAGUAAUUCUUGGCUAAUUACUAUUAUAUUUGAACAUAAAAACAGACAAAUAAUAAAUUUAAAUAAUUUAUAUUUAAAUCUAUUACUACUACUUGGGACAUAAUUUUUUUUAAGUACAUGCCAUUCUAUUCAAAAUUUUAAAACAUACCCGUUGUUGCUUGAAGAUGUGAUGAGAUGAAAGCUUACAAUCUCAAAUUCGACUCUCAAAAAUUUAUGUACCUAAUUUGCGCAAGGAAACAAAUCGUACAAUGAGUAUACACCCAGUGUUAUUACUAUAAUUCAAAUACUUAAGGUAAAAACAAUAUAUAUACACAUUAAAUCUUACCACUAUUUUACCUUCAAUAAAUCAUUCAUGCAUUUAAACUUUAAAUUUAUUCUAAUAAUAUGUAUCUUAAAUAGCUUUUCUUUAUUUUAAUUUAUAUAUCUACUUAUUAUAUCAAUAUUCAUUUCAUGCAUUUCAUCAAUAACCAUUUCAUAAAACUAUUAUUUCAUAUAUUUCAUUUCUAUAUCCUAAUUCAAUAAUUUAUUCUAUUCCAUAUCUAAAACCUUACAACAUUAGUCUUUCAAUAAUUAUUUAAACCAACAUUUUUCAAUAAAAAUAAUUAUAAUUAAUUCAUAAGAUUAUAUCCAACUAACUCAUACACUAUUUCAUUAUUUCCUAUUCAUUCUAUUUUCACUUCUUAUUUCGAUAUCUCAAUUUCAAUUCACAUUUCAAUUCAUAAUUUCACUUUCUCAUACUUUCAAUAGCUCAAUCCAUCAAUUCAUUUGAUUUUUUCAUUUCAUUUAUUCAACUGAUUUCAAAAUCAAUAAUUCGAUAUUUUAGCAAAUUCAUGAACCUUAUGUUCAUGCUUCAAAUCUCGCAUCUUAAUGCCGUUCACAAUUCAACUCAUAAUUUCUUUCUCAUAUCUCUAAAAGUACGAUCAAUCAAAUUUAUUUAAUUUUCUCAUUUCAGUUAUUCACCUUAUUAACAAACCCGGACUUUGACGGAUACACGAAUUCCAACCCAAACACACCAGUACGGCAUAUUGUGCCUAAAACGGUACAUAGUACCUGAUCAGUAUACGACACAUAAGUGCCUGAAAUGACACACGAGGUGCCUAAUAUGACACACGAGGUGCCUGAAAUACGCAAAGCCGAUAUAUCCCGGACUCUUAUAAAUCCUAUGGCAUGCCAAUUAUAUCCGACUUAGCCCGACUAGAUAAUAGGGUAUUUCAAUUCUCAAUUCACUUUCAUUUCCAAUUCAAUAUCACUUUUCAAUUACAAUUUCUCAUUCAAAUCAAUAUACAAUUCAAUUGUACAUACACAUUCAUCAUUCAAUUCAAUUCUCAUUCAUUUCAAAAUCAAUUUUUCACUUUCUAAUCAAUAAACAAUUCAAUACCAAUACAUAUUUCAGAUAAUCACAUAUAAUCAUAUUUCGAUUCAAUUCAAACCACUUUUCAAUCAAUACACAAUUCACAUAUUCACACAUAUUCAUAAAUUAAUUCACUUUUAUUUAAUUCAUAUUUUUAAUUCGUUUUCCAAUCAAAUUCAAAUCACUAAUUACUUUUCAAUCAAUAUACAUUUCAAAUACUCACAUAUUUUCUUCAUUCAAUUCAAUUUGAUUCAAUUAAAAUCACUUUUAGUUUCCAAUCAAUAUAAUUUCAAAUAUUCACAUAAUUCGUAAUUCAAUUACUUAAAUCACUUUUAAUUUCCAAUUUGUUCACAUUCAAUUUCAAUAGCCAUAAACAUUUUUGAAUCAAUUUCAUUCAAAUCAAUAUCAUCAUUUCAAUUGCUUACCUAAUUUUAUUUGCCAUGCAUUUUAAUUCAAAUAUAACAAUUAAUAAUAAAUAGAUUUGAAUUAUAGUAGUACAAACCCGGAUUUGUUCGAUUACUCCUCGAUAACUUUUCCUUUCUUUUCGGUGCCGAUGCCUCGAUUUCUUUGGUAACUACAAAAAUAAUAAUAAUAAUUUACACUUAUUAAUAACAGCACUAAUUUAUAAUAAUGAUUGAAUUUCUAUUCAAUUUAUAUCCUAAUUCCAAUUUAAUCCUAAUUAACUCAUUUACUUUUAUAAUUCAAUUCAUACUUCAUUUCGAUUCAAUUUCCUUCCAUAUUUCACUUAACUAUCUAAUGUUCAUAAUAAAAUUAUAAUUUAAAAUUUCUUUCAAUUUAGUCCUUUAAACACAAAACUUAUAGCUUCUUUUACAAUUCAAUCCCUUACCAAAUAUAACUUGAAAUUCAUUCAAUUAAAUCCCUAAUUCAUCUUUUUGUUCAACAUGAACUAUACUUAUAAACCUAUGAACUUUCAAAGUAUCAACUUAAUUUCAUCAAAACCUUGUUCUAAAGCUUCUAAAACAUCAAAAUUAAGUAAAAAGGACUUAAUUGACUUACCUAUUAAAGUUUUAACCUUCAAACCCUAGUUUUUCCCCAUUUUCUUUUCUUUCCCUUUUCUUUCUUCUUGUUUUCGAAUGGCUUCUGCUAUUCUUUCUUUUGCUUUCUUUCUUUAUUUCAUUUCAUUUAUAUAUAUAUAUAUAUAAUAUUAGUUAAUAAUGAUAAUAAUGAUAAUAAUAAUUAUAAUAAAUAUCUUUUAAUAACACAUAUUUACAUUACAUUUGUCACCACUUAAUUUGUUUAUCGUAUACAAAAAUCUUAUAAUAUAAUUAUUUAAUUAAUAACUAUCUUUUACUUAAUUUUCAAGUAAAUAAAUAAAUAUAAUACAAAUGUAUAUAUUUACAUUAUUUCAAUUGUCACUAUCCAAUUUUUUUAUUAGUUAUCUAAUAAAUAUCUUUUACUUAGUAAUAAUAAAUAAUAAAUAUCUAUUUACUAAUUAAAUAUAAGUAUUACAAAUGUACAUAUAUUUUUUUUUACAAGUGUACAAUAUCAUCACCACCCAUUUGGCAAAAUUUUGAUUUAUUCAUAUAAUAUAAUAUAAUAUUUUUAAUUUAUAACUAAUAUAAAUUGCCAUAUAAUAAAAUAAUUAUAUACAUAAUAAUUUAAUAAUAAUUAAACAAUAAAAAUUUUAGAUUUUUAUCAACAUUUGCCGCCUCAUUUAUGGUGAAUGGUAUAUUUUCCAUUUUGGUCCCCCUUUCUUUUUAUUAAUCUAAUCUAGCCCUUAAUAUUUAUAAUUUUACCAAUUUGAUUUUUAUUCUUUUUAGUUAAAUUUAAUUCUCUACCUAGUGUCAAAUUUGACUAUUGAUCUUUUAGAAAAUUGUCGAAUUAAUGUUUUGUUCUUUGCUUUCAAUUUGGUUCUGUUCUUAAGCAAAUUUCUGCUUUGUUUCUUCUCCAAGUCACGAGUCUUGUUGUUCAAGUCAUAGCUGAACUAGCUUGCUUGUUGUUCAUAACACCAACAGCCUGUUCUCGGCUGGGUUGAUAACAGUAUCAUCGAUGAACCUCCGGAUUGCAUUCAUGAACAUUUUGCCAUCACCCAAGCUUGUAAGCAAUUCAAGAACACGAAAAGGUAAUUGAUUUUCCAACAAGAACAGAUCCGAGUACAAAAAUGUCAGUAAAUCAUUUUUAAUUAACAAAUUACCAUCAUCAUCAUCAUUAUCGUAACGCAUGUCAACUGCUUGUAAAUUUGCGCAGCCGUCAACGAUGAACAUCCAAGCCAGUUCCUCGUUAUCGUCUCUAUACUUCUCUAAUUCCUGUGGAUCAUAGCAUUCCUUCAAGCUAUCCAUCUCUUUCUUAAUUUUUCUGUACAAGGAUUUCUUAUCGACGCCAAUUUUUUUGACGAAAUGUGCUGCUAAUUUGAGGUUGAGCCCCUUGGAUUCACGGAGGGUGAGAUCAUCGUGGUGGAGUGGGCCGAUUGAGAUCACUUUCAGCUUGAAAUACUUCUUGAAAUCUUCGUUACGGAGAAGGGUUGAUGGGACUUUUUGUAUUAAUGGUUUGUAUCUAAGGGUGGGUUGGCCACCAAAAGCUUUGUCUAAUGACUGGAGCUUCGCUACUUCGCCAUCGCUGAGAGGGACGUCGGUGAACCACAUAUCAAUUCCCACGUAAUCGUUGUUGGUGUUGUUGUCGAUGAUUGUUUGAUUAGUGGAAACUGCUCCGGCGGCGCUGCCUCCUUCCUCCAUGGACGACAUUUUCAGGCUGACCGGCUCGAAGUAAUUAACAAGGUGAUUUUGAAAACUUGUUUUGGCUGAUUGAGUGAUGUUGGAAAAAAGGUGGCAAAAUGGCUACGAUGAUAACAAAUCUUCUAUAGCUUACAUAAAGAGGCGAAUAUAGGGGAAUGUAAAAUUGUUAUUUAGGCCCUUAAUAUUUUUUAAAAUUUUAAAUUAGUAAAAGUGAAAUUACAUUUUGGCCUUAUAAAAUUAUAAAAAUUCAAUUUAAUCUUUUAAAAAUUAUAAAGAUAUAGACUACAAAAAAUUAAAAUCUCAUUCGAUCCACCCUAAAAAAUUAUUCGGGCUUCGCCACUGCUUACAUAAUAAACAUAUGGAAAAUACUUUUGGUGUAAUUCAAAUUUACCCCUUAUAGUCAAUUUAAUUUUCAUUUUUUUAAUUUAAUUUUCUAUCUUUUGGAAGAGUUGAAUUUAACUAUCAAUUUAAAUUAAUAUUUUUUGACGAAAAUAGUGACUAAAAUAUUAAAAUAUUAAACAUGACAACUCAAACGGCAAUCCACAUCUAUAUGUUUUUUUAAUUUAUUUCUUAUUUUUAAAUUAUUUAUUGAUGUGACAUAUAAUAAAAGUAUUGUUAUAUUAGCAUGAAGUACACAUGGAAGGCCACACGAGUUGUGACACCAAUAUCGUUAAAAAUUAAUAUUUUAGUUAGCAUAUCUGUUAAAGAAAAGCAAAUGAACUCUUUUUUCAAAGGUUAAUGGCUAAAUUUAGCUCAAAUGAAAAAAAAAAAAAGGCCAAUUUGAUAAAAAAGGUAAAUGUCAAGAGUUAAGUUUAACAUUUAUACAAGUACAAAUAUAUGUCUGGAUUAAUCUAGAAAGAACAAGACAAAGUCUACAGGUGAUAUACAAAUGUGAUGAGAGUGGAACCUGCACAUCACAAUUGAGAAUAAUAUUAUAGAACCUAAAUACUCAAAAACCUAAAACCUUCCCCUUAACCAAGAAGCUAAGACGCCAUGGAUAAUUUUAUAUCUACAACACUUAUGAAUUUCAUAUGCUUAAUAAUAGUUUACAAAAAGACAAGUAAAGAACACUUACUUCGGUUGAUGUAUGGUAUAAUAAGUCUGCAAAGCAGUAAGAGUAAGUGCAGCAAUGGCACCCAAAAAUGCUAAAAACGUCCAAGGACUCCUAAAAUAAGUAUGAUAACCUUGAGCUGCAUGAUUAAUCCACAUAGUCUUACAAUGAUUAUGUAUUUUCUCUUUAACCCCACUGUAAAUUGUCGGACUAGGAACCAAAUCAGUGUUCAUCUUAUUGAAAAGCUUAGCCAUUUCUUCAUCACUGCCCAAUCCAUUGUAUAGUAUGCCGGAGUCUCUAAGGUCUUUAACAUCUUCGGCUUCAUCGAUCAAUAAAUCAAGGAAACACAUAUAUGAAGUGACGGUGAAAUCGUUGUCGAAAUCCGGACACAUUUCGUAAGCUAUUAAGUUCAUGGUUGAAUCAUCGACGGAGAUCGGCGGUAACCGUAAUUUUCCGAAGAAGAAGAUAUGGUUGAAACUGAUGUCGGUUAAAUUACUUGUUUCGCUGGCUUCUAACCAUAUCCCGGCCUUUUUAAGCUCUUUUACGUUACCAAUGGUGCGUGAAUGGUACCGUUUUGUUCUUUUUCUUCUUGCUGCUGCUUUGCCAAAUCCGUGUCGAGUGAAUUCCCAAAGAAAACACCAGCACCGUAUUCGUACUUUUCUGAGAAGGAGUCUUUCUCGUAGUAGAUGCAAUAAGUGAAUUCGCUCUCCUUCUUUUUGCUGCUUCCACCACCAUUCCCUACACCAAAAUCUGUGUUAGUCGGAAGCCAAGCUACAAUUUCUCUUUUCUUUUUUUCUUUUUUGUUGUUGGAUUUGGAAUUGUUAAUUUAUAUGAAGCUAAAAUUAAGAUUUUCAAAAUAAAUAAUCCAACGAUUAAGUUAUUCAAUUUACUUAAUUUAAUUGAAUAAAUUAUUAAAAACUUCGAUUCGAUAAUACGGUUUAAUUAAUUUUUUUUACCCUGUUUAUAUAAAGUUUUAAAUCGGUUAAUCUACUCCGAAUUGAUAAUUCAAUUAAUUUUCAAUCCAAACCCAUUCAAACAAUAUUAACUAAAAUACAAUUUUUAUUGUUGUAUUAAUGCAAAAAUCUUACCAGUUUUAAAACAUUAAACUUUUCCAUUCUGAAAAGUUGGAUUUGAAAUCAUAAUUUUUAAUUUCUAAAAAUGAACACUCAAGGAUAAAUGUAAAACGACAGGCAGGGGUCGUUCCCAAGAAAUGAAAAUUUACACUUUAAUCUCUUUUAAAUUUAUUAAAUUAUAAUAAGUCCUCAAAUUAAAAAAUAAUAAUUGUUCAAUUUAAAAAAAAUAAAAUCAUAAAUUAAUACAAAAAAAAUUAAAAAUCAAUCAGGUUGAAUAAAAAAUUAAAUAAAAUUGAAGUUACACCAAUUGAAUUAAAGAAUCAAAUAAAUUUCUUUUUAUAUUUUUAAUAUUUUUAAAAAAUUAUAUAAUUAAAUUGAAUAAACUAAUCAACCAGAAAUGAGAGUUUAAUAGAUUCCAUCACUCAUGUAGUUAUAAAAACCUUUUAACAUUUAUAAACUGCACAAAAAUGAUGAUUUAUUUAAUUCCCUAAAUUACCUGUCCUCGCCUGGGAUGAUAACAGUUUCGUCGAUGAACCUUUGGAUUGCAUUCAUGAACUUUUCGCCAUUUUUUCUAGGCCUUGUAAGCAAUUCAAGAACACGAAAAGGUAAUUGGUUUUCCAACAAGAACAGAUCCGAGUACACAAAUGUCAGCAAAUCGUCUUUAAUAAACAAUUUACCAUCAUUAUCAUCACCAUUAUCAUCAUCACCGUAACGCCUGUAAACUGCUUGUAAAAUUGCGCAGCCGUCAACGAAGAAAAUCCAAGCCAGUUUCUCGUUAUCGUUGCUAUACUUCUCUAAUCCCUUUGGAUCAUAGCAUUUCUUUAAGUCAUCAAUCUCUUUCUUCAUGUUGUUGUACAACGUAUCCUUAUCGACGCCAAUUUUUUUGACGAAAAGUGCUGCUAAUUUGAGCUUGAGCUUCUCGGAUUUCCGGAGGGUGGGAUCAUCGUGGUGGAGUGGGCCGAUUGAGAUCACUUUCGGCUUGAAAUACUUCCUGAAAUCUUGGUGACGACCAAGGGUUGAUGGGACUCUUUGUAUCAAUGGUUUGGCACCGAGGUUGAUUUCGUCGCCGUCGAAAGCUUCGUCUAAUAACCGGAGAUUCGCUACUUCUCCAUCUCUAAGAGGG
RNAcentral lists this long non-coding RNA (34479 nucleotides) under Gossypium raimondii (Peruvian cotton). RNAcentral describes it as "long non-coding RNA (GRAI_LNC005978)". The record is from RNAcentral. Lineage: Eukaryota; Viridiplantae; Streptophyta; Magnoliopsida; Malvales; Malvaceae.